Molecule: ribosomal RNA, 745 nt
Filed under: uncultured bacterium
Lineage: Bacteria
Description: bacterial SSU rRNA
Rfam family: Bacterial small subunit ribosomal RNA
Source: RNAcentral
ACGCUGGCGGCAGGCCUAACACAUGCAAGUCGAGCGGUAGAGAGAAGCUUGCUUCUCUUGAGAGCGGCGGACGGGUGAGUAAUGCCUAGGAAUCUGCCUGGUAGUGGGGGAUAACGUUCGGAAACGGACGCUAAUACCGCAUACGUCCUACGGGAGAAAGCAGGGGACCUUCGGGCCUUGCGCUAUCAGAAGAGCCUAGGUCGGAUUAGCUAGUUGGUGAGGUAAUGGCUCACCAAGGCGACGAUCCGUAACUGGUCUGAGAGGAUGAUCAGUCACACUGGAACUGAGACACGGUCCAGACUCCUACGGGAGGCAGCAGUGGGGAAUAUUGGACAAUGGGCGAAAGCCUGAUCCAGCCAUGCCGCGUGUGUGAAGAAGGUCUUCGGAUUGUAAAGCACUUUAAGUUGGGAGGAAGGGCAUUAACCUAAUACGUUAGUGUUUUGACGUUACCGACAGAAUAAGCACCGGCUAACUCUGUGCCAGCAGCCGCGGUAAUACAGAGGGUGCAAGCGUUAAUCGGAAUUACUGGGCGUAAAGCGCGCGUAGGUGGUUUGUUAAGUUGGAUGUGAAAUCCCCGGGCUCAACCUGGGAACUGCAUUCAAAACUGACUGACUAGAGUAUGGUAGAGGGUGGUGGAAUUUCCUGUGUAGCGGUGAAAUGCGUAGAUAUAGGAAGGAACACCAGUGGCGAAGGCGACCACCUGGACUAAUACUGACACUGAGGUGCGAAAGCGUGGGGAGCAAAC